GAGCGGUAGAGAGAAGCUUGCUUCUCUUGAGAGCGGCGGACGGGUGAGUAAUGCCUAGGAAUCUGCCUGGUAGUGGGGGAUAACGUUCGGAAACGGACGCUAAUACCGCAUACGUCCUACGGGAGAAAGCAGGGGACCUUCGGCCCUUGCGCUAUCAGAUGAGCUUAGUUCGGAUUAGCUAGUUGGUGGGGUAAUGGCUCACAAAGGCGACGAUCCGUAACUGGUCUGAGAGGAUGAUCAGUCACACUGGAACUGAGACCCGGUCCAGACUCUUACGGGAGGCAGCAGUGGGGAAUAUUGGACAAUGGGCGAAAGCCUGAUCCAGCCAUGCCGCGUGUGUGAAGAAGGUCUUCGGAUUGUAAAGCACUUUAAGUUGGGAGGAAGGGUUGUAGAUUAAUACUCUGCAAUUUUGACGUUACCGACAGAAUAAGCACCGGCUAACUCUGUG
RNAcentral lists this ribosomal RNA (448 nucleotides) under uncultured bacterium. RNAcentral describes it as "bacterial SSU rRNA". It matches the Rfam family "Bacterial small subunit ribosomal RNA", at positions 64 to 507 of the family's 1533-position model. The record is from RNAcentral.